This 5095-nucleotide long non-coding RNA is filed under the name Homo sapiens (human). RNAcentral describes it as "HSALNT0339594". Lineage: Eukaryota; Metazoa; Chordata; Mammalia; Primates; Hominidae. The record is from RNAcentral.
AUCAGCAAAUACACGCCAUGGCUGUGCUCCCCACCCCCCACCGUACACUAGCAGGGCAGCAGCUCUGAUUGUCUAACGAGCAGCAGAGCCGCCCAGCAGCAACCACAUUAGGAAGGAAUCGGAAACCAACGCUCCGCUGGCUGUCACCCCUUACCCACUUGCUGUCAGACCACAGCCUGAGGCAGCCAAACCCAUUUCCUUGGGGAUCCAGCGCAAACCAGAGAGUGUGGACAGGCCGAUGGAAGAAUGUUGGACCAGCUUUAAGAAUGGGCUGUUCUAAGUCAUGAAUAUUGUAGGAAGCAGCUCUAAGGACCACAGGGCUGGAGGGUGCACAGGAAGGGGCCAGUGCAUACAGGUGUCCAAACAGUGUCAUCCGGUGUCCUGACAUGCGGCCCCAAUGGACUGAUCCAGGGUGGAAAGGAAGAGUGAGAAGAAAUCAGACAGAAGAAUUCAGGAGAUGUGGCAACAGAGUGGAUGUAGCAGAAGGGACAUAGAGAGUGCCUAAAGAUGAGUCUUUGGUCAGCAUGUGAUGAAAAGAAUGAAGACACUGGGGAAGUGGGGAGCAGAAGCGGAUGUGGGCCCAGGAGGAAGAAGAUUCCAGAGAGCAGAGAUGGCAAAAAGAUGCAUGGAAGAGAGACACAGCAGGGUCGGGUUCUGGCCUCAGGAGCCAAGGGGGAAGUGCCUGAGGAGACCCCCAAAUGAGGCCUGUGUCAAUGAGGUCUUUAGGGGACUGGUUUCCAUGUAUGCCAGGCCAUACUCCCUGGAUUCCCAGCAUUGAGAAGACCAAACACUUCUACACAUUUAUUACUGAAGCCCCCUGCAAGCUGAAGGCGGAGGAAGUGGCCAAUCUCCUAAGCCGUGUGUGGCUGAGGCAGUUGUCAGAGCUGUGAUGAGGGAAAUGCUCAUUAUUCUUCUAUCCCUCACUUGGCCAAAUAAAGAACUUCUUAGAAUUCUUCCCCUGUGACAAAACGGGGCUGUGAUUUGGAAAGCCUCAGGCAAGUUUGCUAGGGCCGCGGUAACCAAGCACCACAGACUGGGUGGCUUCAAAACUGGACGGCUUCAACAGAAAGUUAUUGUUGCUCAGUUCUGGAAGCCAGAAGUCCAAAAUCAAGGUACUUGCAGGGUCAGUUCGAUCUGAGGGCUGCGAGGGAAGGAUCUGUUGUAGACCUCUCUCCUAGGUUUGCAGGCAUUGGUCCUGAUGUUCACAGGGCAUCCUUCCUGUGCCUUCACAUCAUCUUCUCUCUGAAUGUAUCUCUGGGUCCAAAUUUCCCUAUUUUAAAAUAAGGAAAUCAGUCCUAUUGGGUUAGCACCCCGCCCCUCACUUUAACUUGAUUACCUCUGUAAAGACCCUACCUCCAAAUAAGAUCACAUUCUGCGUACUGAGGGCUAGGACCUCAACAUCUGAAUUCAGGGUGGGUGGAUGCACAAUUCAUUCCAUAACAUUAAGAAGGAAGGGAUAAGUGCCCAAGGAAUCACAUGCUCGCUUGGGGAGAGUUCCAAGCGUGCAGAGCUGGUGGUCAUAGCCUAGCCUCAGGCCUUCGGAAAUCCCCUGAAUCUGGUUUUCCCAGUUCUCAUAAUCUCAUUUCACCAAAAUACGGCAUCUCAAUACAUUCCAUGCAUUUCUGGUGACAAGCUCAUUCUGGUGCACGCUAAGCAAUGUGCUAACUACGUCUUAACUAGGGUGGUUUAACUGGUUUGGUUAACAUAGAUCUCUGAGUCAUUUCACGCAUUCCUUAAGCCUAAACAAAUCUCAUCCAGGUGUUUAAGACAUUGCACAAUAUUAGACCAUCUGAAGCUCCAUCUCCUUGGGGCAAUGAUGAUGAUGGUGAUGAAAGUGGCUGGUGACUGUUCUCAGUCUCAUCGCCAUAAUGGAACCCUACGUUGUGUUCCUCCACACUGGUGUGAGGGACACUACUAAGUGCGGCAGAGUUUGCACUCAGGAUAGAGAAAUAUGGACUCACGCACAGAUUCCAGCUGAGUCCCUCCGAUGUGCUAGGUACUAUGUCCAGCCCCCCAGGAUUCACCUGUAAGCAGGACAGUCUUUUGGAUGACAGAGGGAAUUCUCAUAUAUCCACAGGCAGAUGGAAUUUACAAGUGGAAAGACCUAGAAGUUCAGAGACAGGGGGACUGAACUUUUUGCUUUCAGUCAGAAUCUUUGCUUACGGUUGUGCAAAUGCUUGCAUUGGUGGGUUUCCAUGCCAUAUAACGUGCUACAUAUUUUUACGUUACCCUUGCACAUAAGCAUACUGUUGGGAGGGAAAAUGAAGAGGGUGGAGGUGGUAACAAACUCAAGCUAAGGAAAUGGAAUUUGGAUGGGUACAAAGUCCAGAGAAUUAGCUUGAGGAAAAUGAACCAGGAUUCACACAGGAGUUUUCAAACAUCUCAAUAUCAGGACCCCUUUACCCUCUUAAAACUUACUUCGUGAGGACCUUAAAGAGCUUUUGUUUGUGUGACUUAUAUGUAUUAAUAUUUACUAUAUUAGAAAUUAAAAGUAAGGAAUGGUUGUAAUAUGUGUUCAUUCAUUUAAAAUAACUAUAACAAACUCUUUAUUUUUUAACAUUAAUAAUGGUUUUCAUGAAAAGUAACUAUAUUUCCCCCAACCCCCACAAAAUGUAAUGAUAAGAUUGGCAUUGUGUUAUAUUUUUAGAAAUUUAUUUAAUAUCUGGUCUUAGAGAAGAUGGCUAAAAUCUCCUAUCUACUUCUGUAUUCAAUCUGUUACUUACGUUGCUUUGGCUGAAGUAUAAAAAGAAAAUCCAGUCUUACACAGUAAAGUCAAGUCUUAGAUAGGUAUACAGUUGGAAAAGGCAGGAUUUGCGAUCUCUCAGAAAGAACCUAGGGACCCCCAGCAGUCCCCUAGCCAUAUUUUGAGAAUUGUUGGACUAAUAGUGGUUUUAUAAUCUUGUUAUAUCCUGAUUGGAUUUCUCUUUCUAACUAUACCAUUAAACGGAAACUCAAAUUUCAGAAUUUUAAUCCAUAAUAUGAAAUUUUAGAUAUGGAUUAGUGUCAUGUAGAUAUAUGCAAAGUCUUAACUCUUUCUACCUCCACAUUUAAGAAGUCAGUACAGUGGCAUGACUUUGGCUCACUGCAACCUCUGCCUCCCGGGUUCAAGCGAUUCUUGUGCAUCAGCCAUCCGAGUAGCUGGGAUUACAGGCACGCACCACCACACCUGGCUAAUAUUUGUAUUUUGAGUAGAGACAGGGUUUCGCCAUGUUGGCCAGGCUGAUCUUGAACUCCUGGCCUCAAGUGAUCUGCCUGCCUCAGCCUCCCAGUGCCCGCAAUGGGAUUGCAGGCAUGAGCCACUGCACCAGGACUAAAAGUCACUAUCUUUUAGUUUGUUUGCGGUGAAAAAAAAUAGUUUAAAAAAUAAAUUAGAAACAGACACUAUUACCCAGUAUCUAUAUUUAAUCACAGAAAUAUUUCUUAAUGCUUCCAACUCUGAAGUCCCAGACAUUCUUAACUAUGUACUGUAGUUAUAAAUAAUAUGAAGGCUGGAGCACAGUGGCUCACGCCAGUAAUCCCAGCACUUUAGGAGGCCAUGACAGGCAGAUUGCUUGAGCCAAGGAGUUCGAGACCAGCCUGGGCAACAUAGUGAGACCCCUCUCCCGCCUCAUCUCUACAGUAAAUAAAUUAGUCAAGUGUGGUGGCAAUGUGUCUGUAGUCCCAGCUACUCAGGAGGCUGAGGUGGGAGGAUCCCUUGAGCCCAGGAGGUCAAGGCUGAAGUGAGCUGUAAUUGCACCACUGCAUUCCAGCUUGGUCGACACAGCGACAGCGUUUUUCAAAAAGAAAGAAAAUAUGUAUCCCUGCACCAUAGGAAAUAGGAAGUAUUGUGUGACUUUUUCUUGGUCUUUCGAGGAACUAUGUCAUAUGAAUCAUGAUGACUGCUGAAAAUGCACAGGAAGAUAAAGAAAAGUGACUUGUUGCUCAACUGUUUCAAGCCCAACUCUGGGUACCAAACUGUGGCUCCCUAAACUAACCCAGAGGGCUUGACUCUGACAAAGCUCUAGGUGCAGCCAUAAGACUGACCCUUAAAAAUCUGACCUGAGAUAGCGACAGUCUCACCCCGAAAGCAGACCACAAAUUGGGUUUAUAAUCUAGUGGUUUGCAGGAUAUGACAUACUACCUAAUGAACAGGGUGACCGAGUUUGGUGUGAUUAGUCCGCAGAUGCCAGAAAGGCUGAAGAAGCCUGCCAUGAAACUAAGUUUCUGGCCAGUGGUUCCAGCCUAAUCUCAGACCCUGGGAACAGAGAAGCACCCCUUCAUCUCCUCCUGCAGGUAGAGAUUCACCACAUUCACCUUUGUAAGCUCCCUUUCCAACAACCUUGGGCACCUUUUGCAACCUAUAAAGGUCCUCUCCUUGAAUGCCUGCUGCUUUUCCCUGUGCUUGUCCUAUCUCACUCAGAUCUUUGAUUCCCCUGACGACAUUCCCCACCCCCUCCCCACCCCAUCUCAGCUGUCCUUCUCAGCCUCGCUAUCUACUCUCAUUCCUCACCUGAGUGUUCCAGCAAGAUCACUGUUCUAUAAAGGCUCAACCUUCAAACUUGCAAUACACAUUUCCUGGGUCCUGCUUUGUCUCUAUCCUCUGUGCUCAGCCCUGGUGUAGGAUCAGUGUUCCUGUCACUCCAUCUCCUUUUCCAGGGAUAUUUGCAUCUUUAGUAGUAGUCUUCAUUGGUGGUCCUUCAGUGGAGUGUCACAAAGAGAAGGGAAAACACUCAGGUACUAUGAGGGGAAAGGUUGGGGACUGUUGAGAGAUCACAAGGACACCUCUCACUCCUACCCCCAAAGCUACCUUAACCUAUUCCUGUCAAGACAGAAGGUUGGCCGGGUGCAGUGGCUCACACCUGUAAUCCCGGCACUUUGGGAGGCCAAGGCAGGUGGAUCACCUGAGGUCCAAAGUUUGAGACCAGCCUGGCCAACAUGGUGAAACCCCAUCUCUACUGAAGAUACAAAAAAUUAGCCAGGCAUGGUGGCAAGUGCCUGUAAUCCCAGCUACUCGGGAAGCUGAGGCAGGAGAAUCGCUUGAACCAAGGAGAUGGAGGUUGCAGUGAGCCAAGAUCGUGCCACUGCACUGCAGCCUGGGAGACAGAGCAAGACUCCA